UACGAAGGUCCCAAGCGUUGUUCGGAAUCACUGGGCGUAAAGGGUGCGUAGGCGGUUUGGUAAGUCAGAUGUGAAAUCCCGGGGCUCAACCCCGGAACUGCAUCCGAUACUGCCAGACUAGAGGACUGGAGAGGUGACUGGAAUUCUCGGUGUAGCAGUGAAAUGCGUGGAUAUCGAGAGGAACACUCGUGGCGUAAGCGAGUCACUGGACAGUAUCUGACGCUGAGGCACGAAGGCCAGGGUAGCGAAA
This 250-nucleotide ribosomal RNA is filed under the name uncultured bacterium. RNAcentral describes it as "partial 16S ribosomal RNA". It matches the Rfam family "Bacterial small subunit ribosomal RNA", at positions 524 to 773 of the family's 1533-position model. The record is from RNAcentral.